UGGGGAAUUUUGGACAAUGGGCGCAAGCCUGAUCCAGCAAUGCCGCGUGAGUGAAGAAGGCCUUCGGGUUGUAAAGCUCUUUUGUCAGGGAAGAAACGGGUUGGUUUAAUACACUGGCCUAAUGACGGUACCUGAAGAAUAAGCACCGGCUAACUACGUGCCAGCAGCCGCGGUAAUACGUAGGGUGCAAGCGUUAAUCGGAAUUACUGGGCGUAAAGCGUGCGCAGGCGGUUAUGUAAGACAGAUGUGAAAUGCCCGGGCUUAACCUGGGAACUGCAUUUGUGACUGCAUGGCUAGAGUGUGUCAGAGGGGGGUAGAAUUCCACGUGUAGCAGUGAAAUGCGUAGAUAUGUGGAGGAAUACCGAUGGCGAAGGCAGCCCCCUGGGAUAACACUGACGCUCAUGCACGAAAGCGUGGGGAGCAAACAG
RNAcentral lists this ribosomal RNA (428 nucleotides) under uncultured bacterium. Its description in RNAcentral is "bacterial SSU rRNA". It matches the Rfam family "Bacterial small subunit ribosomal RNA", at positions 355 to 775 of the family's 1533-position model. The record is from RNAcentral.